GAAUGAGUAAAGAAAAGUAAAUGAAAUGAACAAAUUAUAUAUGUGAUUUAAGUGAAAUAAUCCUAAAACUAAACUCUUAUUUGUAUAUAAUUAUAUAUGUAUGCGAGCCUAAUAGGCCGGGCUUUUGUGGGCGGGCUGGGCGGGGCUUUCUUGAGCUUAAUCGAGUCGGGCCUAUGGGCGGGAUCGGGCUUUAGACACCCAAAUCCAAACCUAGCCCGACCCAAGAAGGACCGGGCCAUCUCAAAGCCCAUAAUGGGCCGGGUGGGGUUUUUUUUUGGUGGGCCGGACGGGCCCUCAUCGGCCCAUGAGCCCGCGGGCCAAAUGAUGACGCCUACUUAUUUAUGUAUUUGAAGAACGAUUUUUUUUUUUUUGAGGGAAAAUGUAACUGAACGUGCCCUAAUUUAUCAGUUCCAUUGACUAACGUGCCCUAAGAAGAAGCACAAACCCACCACCAUGAAACCAUGACCACCAAAACCUAUGCCACCUCCACCCAAUCCCCGACUUACAAAUAAAAAACCAUAUCCCCAUUUAUGGGCGAGAGCAUGGAACCACGGUUCUCCUGAUUGGCAUAACCACCGCCAAACACAUGAACACCGACAUGGAGAAUCACAUCUGUCCAGAUCUAGCCUUGCGCCUUUGUUUGUGGUCAACUACAGAGUGCCCAAGCUUUGUGGCCUUUGUGGAUCGGUCCAGAGGUGAGUGCUGAACUGUUGGGUAUGGUGAGUAUACUGUAUAUUCCCUUGCGCGGCACAACCCCACACCAUUCGGCAUCAACCAAGCCAUACCCCCCUCUUUCCCAGCACACCCCAAAAACUGAAACUUUGAUUUUUUUUCUUAUCUUCUGUUUUUGGUUGUGUGAGUUGUGUGAGAGGGAGAGGAGAGAAAGAGAGCAUGUGGUUGUGUGAGUUGUGGAUUAGGUGGGGUUGGGGACGGAGUAGUGGUGGUGAGGGUGGCUUUGGGUUAGGUGGUAGUUUUGGUCUGUAAAGUUGGGGGAGGAGAAGGGAACGAAGAGAUUUUUCAUUUUUUUAGAUCUCAUCUUCUGAAUUAAAAUUUUAAAUUUUAAAUAAUAUUAUUAUUUAAUCCUCUCUUUUUUCACACAAAUAAAAAAAAGGUCUCAUCUGAUUAUUAUUAUUAUUAUUAUUAUUAUUAUUUUUUAUCAAAACUCAUCUGAUUAUUUAAAAAGAAGACUUAAAAGUUAAAAUAGUCCCUGUGUUUUAUCACGUUGGCCAAUUUAAUCCCUGUAUUUUUAAUUUGACUAAUUUAAUCUCUGUGUUUAGAACCGUUAGCCAAUGUGAUCCAAUCCGUUUAAUUUAUGUUAAAAAAAAUAUUAAAAUUUUUUAAAUAUUAAUAAAAAGUAGAUAUAUUUGAAUUCAAUUUAAAAAUAGAUAAUUAAAUCAGAUCUAAAAUGUUGUUCUUGUUAUAAAAAUAACCUGGAAUAUGUAUGAAUAUUGAGCUGCACGUAAAGUAGAUGAGACACAGCAUUUAACGAGGUUCGGCUAUGCCUACGUCCUCGGAGAGCAGCAGCAGUAACGUUUUCACAAUAUAAAAUAAUAGGGCUACAACUUUAGAGUUUAUAAUAUGUGAGGCUCACUGAAUUUUCUCUCUCUUUCCUCUUCUAUCUUUCCUCCUCUUUUUCCUCUUCUUUCCUCUUCUCUUUUUCCUUUCUUCUUUUCUCCUCUCUUUUCUCUUCUCCCCUAUCUUUCUUUUCUCCGUUGGUCACUCUUCCCAUUGCAAGUGAUAUGCCUAUUUAUAGGCUAAGGUUUUGGUAAAAUACAGGGAAGGGAAGGUUCCUGGAAGAUGCAAGGAAACUUCCUAAAUUGAUAAAUACAGGGAAGGAAAGUUCCUGGAAGAUGCAAGGAAACUUCCUCUGUGGGCUCCACCUUCAAACUUUUACAACACUCCCCCUUGGAGACCACAAAUGAUAUGGAAUAUGCCUCGUUAAAAACCUUGCCAGUAAAAACCCAAUGGGACAAAAACUGGUCGAAGGGAAAAAGAGUACAUAAUCACGUGUAACAUAAAAUUCUGUGUAUAUUGACGCGCGUGCGACACUGCCUCGUUAAAACCUUGCCAGGAAAAACCCAGUGGGAUAAAAACCUGGACGAAGGAAAAAGAGUACAGUGUGUAAGGGUCUGUAUUGACAGCACGCUCCCCCUGAUGCUUGGCAAAAUAUCUUUAAGCCAUACUGUUGAUCAUCUGUCUGAAUAUCAUAGUUGACACUGCUGCUGUGAGUCAAUAGUGUAUGAAGGUCUUUAUUAAUACCAUGCUCCCCCUGAUGAAUAUCUCCCCCUGAAAACUUCAUGACUAGCUUUUUCCAGUAAGCGACCAUAGAGAUUUCCUGAGUCCGCAUAUCUUAGAACAUUUGGGCUAUUUAUAAGUUCACUAAAAAAUAUGCCCGUAUAUGGUGUUAUGCUUAGAUAGCAUCAAAUAUACCUCACAUCAUCCCAAAAUGAUGGUGAUGGAGUUGAGCCCUAUCUGGAAAAUAUGAUGUCCGGUCCAAUAUACUUCCGGAAAAUCAUUAAAGUGUCCAACGGAUAAUCCUCAUAAAAAUACUUUAAUACUUUCUUAGUAUAAGCAAGAAUUUCGUUGGCAUAAUGCUCGAUCGAGACAAAUAUUUCAUGAAUUCUGCAGAAGCUUUAAUGUGUUGCAAUCACAUUAUAAUCAAUGUACUCACUGAGGUAAUUUAUGCAUAUUAAUAUUGAGUACAAAUUUUGUGCUUCAAGCACAUGUCCUUUAGGGACUUGCUCUAUGCAAUAUCAAUCCUCUCAAUUGAUUUUGGUUAAAAGGGAUUAAACUUUAUGACACAUUAUAUAGCUUUUACCCAGCUAUUUAUACAUCUUUAGGAAAUCGCUUCUGGCGAUAUGCUCUGUGCAUUAAUAACCCUUAAAGAUAAUAUGUUGGUCUCCGUAAUUGUGUAAUAAGGGGGGCACAAUUGAAUCUGUAAAUAUGGAGAAAACCCAACAUUCCUUGUUUCUGCCAGAAACAGUGUGUCAUACAAAGUAGGUAUAUUCCCUUUUAUUCCGAACACCCAAGUAUAAAUUCAGUAUUAACAAAUUUUGGGGUUCGUAUUGUGGGUUUGUUCUUUCACGUUCAUUCUCAUUUAUAAUGGAAUUACCUCGUUCCAUUUUGGCCAAUGAUAUUGUCGACAUUUAAUAAUUGAACGUGGUUCCAAUCAACACAGCCCAUUGAUGAUUUGAGUAGCUACUCCAAAACCAAAAAUUUUCAUUCAUCAAUUCAUGAUCAAAAAUUGUCAUUCAUCAAUUCAUGAUCCCACCAUUCUCAUUUGCAUGCGCAUGCAUCUAUUAUAAGCAUUUCUUUACUUUUGGGUACCCAAGCCACUUCAUGGGGCUUUUAUUAUGUGAGAAUGUGGAUAUAACCUCCAUUGGAGCGUUAUUUAGCAGUAGGGCGUGAAUAAUCUCCAUUUAGGGAGUUGGAACAUUUAGAACCCAUAUAUCUGUCAUGCUGAAGGCAUGCCACAGAUUAAUACAUACAUGUCAAUUAAUUUCUGGGACUUUAACCCAUGUAAUUUGCUACGCAUUAGGCGUGCAUAAUAUCAAUAUUGACAUGUCAAAGGAUUGUCCUUUCGGGACUUCAAUCCACAUCAUUUGCUACGCAACAGGCGUGCAUCAUAUUGAUCACUGCUAUACCCAUAUUUUGUUCUUAUGGGACUUUAAUCUGUGCAGUGUAUUAUCAAUGUAUCCAUCUUACAAUCUGUAAAAUUUGCAUUAAUAAUUCAUGGAUACAUCCAAGCCAUUCUUUUGGAACGGACUUAUCUCCCCAUUUGGUUACCUUUCAAGAUAAAAUAUCAAAUAGGUAUAUAAGCAUAAAAUAACACAAGUAUUACUUACAUCCUUAGGUGGGAGAAACUUUUCUCAAGUAUCAUUCAAGCUCAUAUCAGCCCAGUAAAUAUAAUGUAGCGCUUGAUGGUCUAGUUAUAUCCUGCAAGAGCAAAAAUCACAAUUCUCUUCUCUGUCAAAAACAAAUAACUCUCAGAGUUAGGAUCACUGCAUGGAUUCAUUCUUCAGAUGUUCAUUCUAAAGAAAUAAAAUCUCUUAUGAACAGAGAGUUAUAAAAAGAGAAAAAAUGCAAAAAGAUUGUGAUAUUGAUUGCAAGGUAAGGUAAGCAAUCAAGGAAGGAAGCUGGUGGGAGCAAACAACAAGCUCUCAUUUCUCCUAGUCUAGAAAGACCUCAGGAGAUUGGAGCAUAAGGUCACCUUCACAGUUCCCUAAUGUAGCGGAAACAUGAUCAGGGAUAGUCUUGCUUCCUGAAUGUAUGAUCAGAGAUAGUCUUGCUUCUCAGGCAUAUUAAGUGCUCACUGAUAAGAAAAACAAGUAGAUAUCGCAUCACUAGGUAUGGAGAAAACUGGAUGUCUUUUGCAAAGAAAAUUUCGUUAGUAACACAUUUAUACACAAAUACAAUGAAUAGGUAGAACCGGUGAAUUUCAAAUUAACUAUAGGAAAAUUGCGAGAUUCUCGGGAUACUUUUGAAAAAGUAGUUCCGUGAAAUCCGUAAAGCAAGAUCGGCUUUGAAAAUAAUACUUUGAAAAACGCCGAAAGUGCCGACAGGCAUUAUUAGAGGCCACGUGAAGUUUUGGACUCUGGGAGAGAAAAAGAUAAUAUGGGGAUUCGAUAAGAUAUUGCCGACAGGCAUUAUUAGAGGCCACGUAAAGUUUUGGACUUUGGGAAAGAAAAAGAUAAUAUAGGGAUUCAAGAAGAUAUUGGGGUCCUGAAAAGUUGCCACAUUUUCGUCUAUAGAUAUUGCCUUUGCAAACUGCGUUUCAACUCAAUUUCCUUCAUUUUCCGAACCUUUAGUUUUUCUAAGACUUUCUUCGAAACCUUCUUAAAAAAAUGGCUUCCUCUUCUUCCUGCCCAAAUUAUUUCAAUUUAAAUGAUGCUCCCACAACAACCAGUGACGCCCAAGUUUGGCGUCCAUCCUUUGUAUCCAAAAAUCGUCAUCUCACAGUUAAUGAUUCUGUGAUGAUGAAUGAUGCUACUGCUGUCAUAGUAGCUAGGAAUUUCAUUAUUCCAAUGGAUGAAAUGUUGUUGACAGGGAGAUCAGAGGAAGAGGCUAUUGAUGACUCAAUGGCUUUUAGCAUUCAGAGUGCUGUUUCUGUUUCUAACAUGGCUGAUCGUUUGCGUGCCAGAGCAAACGAGGUUGAGAGGUUAGCUACUGAAAAUUCGUCUCUCCAAAGAAUGCUUCAUGAGUCUCAACAGGAGGUUGAGAAACUUAAAGGAGAGAAUAAUGCCUUGUUGAAACUGGUGAGUUCGUACUCUGUUGAUACACUGAGAAGGCUAGACAUGCUGCAGGUCUCCAAUGAAAGAAUUUUGGGAGACCACGAGAAGCUCAUGGCUAAGCUUAAGAGGCGCCGUCAUCUUCCUGCAGAGGCUUCCAGAACAUAAUGUAAUUUUUUAUAGAUUUCACAGGGCCUGCACCUUCAUUGCAGGUGGAAAAAUCUAUCUGUUAUAUGUUCCUGUUAUAAUAAUUGCGCAUAUUCUUAAACUUGCACCUGUGGUUUUUACGUCUUUUCAAAAUGACGAUUUGAAACCUUGUGCCUUAUAGGUUGAAAUAACCACAUUGUCUCUCCCAAAUUGCAUGGUAGCCCGGAACUUUUGGCAUGGGCACAAACUCAGAAUUUAUUUGCCCUUUUCAAAUGGACAUGAAAUGUGAAUUGAGUAAAAGCUAUGAUAAUAUCACAAUAUAGUAGUGAAGAGCAUUAACUACUAUAUACCCACAACUUCAAGUUUAGGAUCUCUCAUAUAUUUGGAUCCAUGGGCUUCCGCCCCAGAUAUAACAAAAUAUGUGGGGAGCCUCAAUUCAUUAUUUGAGGUUUAUAUUGAUAUUAUCCAUUUCGCGGUGUAUUCUUAACAACCGGAAUUCACAAAAUAUAUUUCUUCCUUGAGGUGUCGAUUAUAACAAAAUCGAACUUUAAAUUCAUCAUCUUCUUAUGCCAAAGAAAUAUGUGGCAUACCACAAUUUGCAAUAAUACCUCAAGGGUUGUCCAUUUAAUUGUUGGAACUUCAGGUUCUCAACACUGUUAAAUUUUGAACUUCAGGCCAAAGCCACAUAUUCUCAUGGUAUGGACAUUUUUACAAUUUUCUGUACAUAUUUCAGGAUUUCAAGCCCUUACAUAAUUGUCCAUAUUUUGAGGAACUUCUGGCAUCUCAUUUAAUUGCACAUCCAUGAGUUUAAGGAACUGCAGGUUCCCUUUUGUAUAUAGUGACGGUUUACCCAAAAUGGUUAAUAUUUAUGCAUACGUCACUAUUCAUGUGAAUAGUACUAUUCAUCAAGUCAUGAAUACAUAUCUAUUCAUCUGCCAGUACAGUUAUCAUCAAUGUGUACGGCACCAUGAACCAAUACGGUACUGUUACAUCAUUAAUGAACUCUAGGUCCUUAUUUACAUGUCGGGAUCAAGGACCUUUAAGUCCAAUCACAUGUUUACAAAUACAGUACCGGAGAGACUGCCAGCUCUCAUAUCAUCAUCAAGGAUCUUCAAGUCCUGAUGUAAUUGUAUGAUGAGGAUCAAGGAACUUCUGGUCCUGAUCUGCAUACUGGAAAAACUCAUCAUACAGCACAAUUAAUCCAUAAAAUAAAUUGCUGAUAAAUAAAUUACUGGUAUGGACGAUAAACCCGCACCACACUUUAAAUAAAUGUAAAUGUGCAGUAAAUGAAAUUCAUAAAGUUAAGGUGCUUGUAUGGGCAUUAAUUCUGCUCCAUACAUUUAAAUAAAAGUAAAGGCGUUGACGAUAAAUCCGCACCACCCUUUUAAAUAAAUGUAAAUGUGCGGUAAAUUAAAUUCAUAAAUUAAAUUGCUUGCUGUAUGGACGUUAAUCCCGCACCAUACUUUAAAUAAAAUUAAAUGUGCGGUAAAGUAAAUUGUGCUUGUAUGGGCACUAAUUCUGCUCCAUACAUUUAAAUAAAAGCAAAGGCGUGGACGAUAAACCCGCACCACCCUUUUAAAUAAAUAUUGUUGUAUGGGUAAUAAACCUACACCAUACAGUAAAUAAAUGUGGUGUUAAAACCACCACCGAAUAAAAUAAGAAAAAAGUUAGUAUUAGUAACGGUCUCCCACUGAUAAUAUGUUUAGUAUUACCAAGGGUCCAUUUUUGUUAGUGGUUAGUAGUAUAGAUAAUAGUGCAGCACAAAAAUUAUACUUGAGAGCUUCUCGUGCUGAUAACGUGUUAUAAAAAUAACCUGGAAUAUGUAUGAAUAUUGAGCUGCACGUAAAGUAGAUGAGACACAGCAUUUAACGAGGUUCGGCUAUGCCUACGUCCUCGGAGAGCAGCAGCAGUAACUUUUUCACUAUAUAAAAUAAUAGGGCUACAACUUUAGAGUUUACAAUAUGUGAGGCUCACUGAAUUUUCUCUCUCUUUCCUCUUCUAUCUUUCCUCCUCUUUUUCCUCUUCUUUCCUCUUCUCUUUUUCCUUUCUUCUUUUCUCCUCUCUUUUCUCUUCUCCCCUUUCUUUCUUUUCUCCGUUGGUCACUCUUCCCAUUGCAAGUGAUAUGCCUAUUUAUAGGCUAAGGUUUUGGUAAAAUACAGGGAAGGUAAGGUUCCUGGAAGAUGCAAGGAAACUUCCUAAAUUGAUAAAUACAGGGAAGGAAAGUUCCUGGAAGAUGCAAGGAAAGUUCCUGGAAGAUGCAAGGAAACUUCCUCUGUGGGCUCCACCUUCAAACUUUUACAACAGUUCUGAGCUCUUAGAUUAGAACCCUUGUUACAAAAAAAAAAGAAAAAAAAAAAAGAUCUAAAACUAAAAAGAAAUUAAAAUCAAGGGAUGAUAACACCAUCCAGUCUAACUGUCACCCCCACCACCCUUCUCUCAGCUUCUCUCUUUCUCCCAGCUACUUUCCGCAGCCAGACCCAAAGGCCCCAAUCCCAACUCCCCUAGCCACACCCACCUCAUGAACACGAAUCCUCCCCACCCCUGAGCUCUCUCUCUCUCUCUCUCAAACAACCCCUAUUGCCCAACCAUGUUCCAACAAGAUCUUUCCCAACGCCACCAUUCCCUGGCCAUUUGUCCCAUCCCCAGCCACGCCACCCAGAUCCUCUAGCCCACUCUGGUCGUCGCCCCACUCCCCCUCCCCCAAUCACUGAGCAGCCUCUCCCCCUCCCUGAUUAUGCCCAUCUUGUGUUUUUUUUUUCUUCCUAAUGUUAUGUUUUGGUUUUAAUGAAGUUUCAAUAUAUUUUAAAAUUAAUUCAAUUUUAAAAAUUAAUUUCAAAUAAGUUUAUAGGUUUUCAACAAAAAAGAAAAAAGAAAAAAAAGAUCAUUUAUGUUUAUUUAACGACAAUUAAUUUAACAGAAUGAACCACAUUGGCUAACGGUAUUAAACACGGGGACAAAAUUGGCCAAAUUAAAAACACAGGGAUUAAAUUGGCCAACGUGAUAAAACACAAGGACUAUUUUAGCAUUUAAGCCUAAAAAGAACUAGCCUCUUCGUACGCGCUUUCGCACCUAUAAGAGUCUUUUUUUUUAAAACUUGAAAUUUAUUUUAAAAUUAAAAAAGAUAAUGGGUAGUUGUGUUUCAUAAAAAUAAGAUCCAUUAUCUAUUUUUUUAAAUUUUUUAUUAUGAAAAAAUGUGAAUUUAUCAUAUUAUCCUCAUUUAAUUAAUAAUUUCAAUUCUUAAUGUUUGCAUUAGCAAAUGUCAUUUUUUUGGUAUUUUGAAUGUUAUUCUCUGCAUUUUCAUAUAUAUAUAUUGUUUAGUUUUUAGAAGGAAUAAAUUUUUUUAAUAAUUUUUUGACUGAAAUGCUCCUCACCAAGUACCAGAAGUUAUAAGAAUUUGACAAAAUUGGACAAUGUCAUUGAAUUACUUAGAAUUGCAAAACACUGGAGCAAAAGUGAUCAAAUGGAAGCCACAUGAACUUUAGUAAUAAAAGUGGUAAACUAUAGGGACCAAAAGUGACCUUUUGCCUAUAAAUAAUAGAGAAAAAAAGUAAAAAGGAAACGAAUUUAAAAAACAUUCCAGACCUCCUACAACAAAAUAGAAACUAGGCAUUUCUAAUUCAAAUGGUCAUGGGAUCAAAAUACUGGGACACGCCCCAUUACACACAGAAUAACUUGGGUAGGGUCUCUUACAUGCGCCAUGGCAGGCUGAGUACUCCAUUAUACCAUUAUGUAUUCCACGGACCGAAAAUGACUUUCCCUAAAAUAAAAAACAAAGCAACUAAAGCACUUAUGACUGGUCAUUUACAAACCAAAUUAUGUUCGAGUUACAGAGAUUCCUUUGACUAGAUGUGAUUAUGCCCUUGGUUAUCCUUGUCACUGCACAAUCAAACUAGCUCUGGCAUAGCCCCUUGAAAUUUGAAACUGUUCAGUUAUACCAAGAUGCGCCAUAAGAAGCCAGACAUGAGUGAGCAGCUCACCACCUCGCCUGAGUUGCCGGGCGUGGUGGUUCCAUUGACAUUGACAGGCAGCGUAAGAUAGCAUUUCCACCCACACAUGACUUAUCAACUCCCACUUCUUCUGAUUCUCCCAAUGUUUCUCUGUUUCCAGCGAUUGCAAAUCUUUAGUAAGUCGGCAUGCAUCAAACAGCACUGACUUGCUUCUAUCCCCUUUGACUUCAGCUGGAUUAACUUCGGUGCUCACCCCAAGUAAUGCUGUGCAAGCCUUCUUUUGUCGGUCUUCUUUGGGUUUUCUUUGUUCGGAGGAUUCAGCAGCUGGAACUCCGGUGCUCACCUCAGGCGAUGCUUUGCAAGCCUUCCUAUCUCCUUUGCAUUUUCUUUGUUUAAAGAAUUCAUCCGCUUCGGCGCAGGUGUCCUGGAAUCUGAUUUGUCCGAUCCCAUUGGGCAGCAUGAACGGCCGCAUGACUAGGAGAUACAACAAAUACUCUGAUAAGAACUUGCUGGCUUUCCAACUUCGACUGCUGAGGGAAUUUGGUUUCUUGGCCAGAUCAGAAUUUGGGUUGUCUUCUAGAUCAGAGUAGUAACAGAGGUCCGUUGCAAUAUGCCAGAGAAGAAUGCUCUGAUCAAAUUCGUCUUGGAUGCUCCAACCAAGUUUGUCAAGACACUUGUCAGUUUCAAGAACCCACUCCCCCUUGCAAGUACAAAAUUUCUUCCAAGACUCGGCUUUUGGAGCACUCCUCGAUUUCUUUAUAAGCUGCUGAAAUAUCAAUUCUUUCAACUCUAUAGGGACUUCCUUCGAAUUCUUAUAGAGAGACUUCUUGAAUUUUUUGUAUAUCCAUGGGAUCUUGUAGUUGUGGAGAAAGCUGCAAUGUGCCGGGUCAUCUUCACAGCAAAAACUUAUUAAGUUGAACUGUAAAAUGACAUUAGACCACCUUUUGGUUUCAGCUAAUGGAAUUGAUGAAGUGAUCGGAUGCAACAAAUAUUCCACUACCUUGUUGUGCUUCUUAUUCAGCCAAAGUUUGGUCCAGUCUGAUGAGAGUGAUAAAAUUACAGCACAGACCUCUAGGAUGAUUGCUCCAGCCAGCAACAUGUAAGUGAUGGUUACAUUUACUUUGUAGAAAUCUUUCUUGUCGAUGACCAAGAACGCUGCAGAAACAGAAACUAUGCAAACAAAACUGCUGAGACGAAAAAUGACACCUUGCACAGAGUAAACCAGGACCGCCUUUGUAUAGAACAAAUCAUACAUAAACCCGAGCUCAAUCUCAAUUACUUGGAAAGCUUCGUUGCAGGAUCUGUUCAGGAAGAAGGACCGGCUGUUCAAGAUGUCAUGGAUGCUGAGGAUGAGAUCAGCGAAAAGGCGCUUGAAAACUUUUAAGAAAACAGAGGCAUGAUGCAAAUUGGCUGCAUUGGGAAAGAUGUUAGGAGCUGUAAAGGAGGAAUAAUCACCUGUUGUAGGAGCUUCAGUUUCUUCCCCUAACUUAACCACGUACCCUUCUUUCUGGUUUGAGCAGAACUCGUCCGUGAAUCUCGCGUAGUUGGGGCCCGGAUCAGGAGGAGGGAACAUAGCCUCUCUAAAAUGCUUGCUGCUUGCAGACCUCAAAACCCAAGUCCUUUCUCCAAACUUGAUAGCGCCAGCAAUAAAAAUUGGAAUGGCUAACAAGUUAAGGGUAUGACCUACCCAGGCUUGAAGAAAGAUAUAGAAAGCCAGAGACACCUGGACAAGGAGAACAAGCAAGUGCCUCCACCACAGCUCAUUGUCUUCCAAUGAGUAUGCAGUAAUGGUGUCAGGGCCAGCCAGAUGAAGCAAAAGAAAUGGAGCCCAGAAUGCCGUGACGAUCUGAUUGGGGUCUGGAGAAUGAGUUGCAUGGUCGUUUGAUGAGUUGCUGGAAAGUAGGCUGAGAGAGACGGUUGCAACCCAAUCUGCUGACAAGUAGGCAAGCCACAGAAAUCUGAGCCAGUUUCUGGUUGAAUACUUUCUUCUGUUGCCGAUGAGCAAGAGAAUGGCCUGUAAGAUGAGGCUUAAUGGUACCAUAACACGGAUUUCCCACAAACUCCAUAGUAUGCGUAGUCUUUCUGAGAAAAUCCGCAUAUUCACCUUUCCGCUCUUCUUUUUCUUUUCUUUUCUUUUUACAAUCCUCUUCUUCAUCUAUUCUAUGCAAGGUCUAAAAUAUCGGUGAUAUCAGAAAUAUCGGUAGUCUAAAAACAAGAAAAUUUAAUGGAAAUAUCGGGAUAUUAUCAAUAUCAAUAAAAAUUGAAUAAAAACCACGGAAAUUGUAAGAAAAACUUGGAAAUUUUUAUUGAAACUUUGGAGGAUGCUUAUUUAGUCAAUUAUCUAUUAGUUUAUCACAAAAAAUUGGAAUGAAAUGCAUUACAUAAUGGAUUUAACUAAUUUAAGUUGAUUAUAUAGCGAGCUGACAAACACUGUGAGUGUAGAAAAUAUGUAGUAAUUAAUGAAAGAAGAUUAAACACACUGCAAUCAUUUAUAUAUAAUGCUUUACUACAUUAUUUUACAUUUUAUACAUUACAUGGUAAGAUACAUAAGUGACUUAGUACCACAUAGAGUUCCUAUGAGAUUCAAAUUUUUCACUAUCUUCAUCAUCUAGAAUAAGUGUAUUGUGGAGAGUAGUCAUCAAAUGAUAAAUCCCCAAAAUAGUUUUGCAUGUAAUUGUUAACAUGUCACCCAUAUGGAUCCGAGAUUGGUUGACGUUGUCCAUGAGCAAAAUCAUUUGAAGAUUGAGUCUCAGAUUCUUUCCAUGAGCUGCUCGAUUCCUUCCCAAAAGGAAUGGGAUAUGAAGGGUAGCGAAAUGGUUGGUUAUGAGUAUAAUCAUAAUUACUACUUCUCAUUCCAACAGAGUCCGAAGUUAUAGAUAACGAAUCAUCUUCUUGACUUGACAAAAUCGCCUUGCCUCUUUCUCUACGAGUAUAGUCCUUCCCUAUGGCACCAAUUCCUGGUCCUUCCCGCCUACUCUCAUGGUCCUCAUCUUGUGAACUUUGUCCAAGUAAGAAAUGUAAGGUCCAUCAUUCCUUGUCUAUCCAUGUCUCAAUAUUUAGAAGAAAAAAGAAUUUACCACUUGGACGCUACAAUACAAAGCAAACCAAGGAUGACUAAUUUUACAAGAGGAAACACCUUGAAUCCCCUUUGUGUUUUUUUCCCUUUUUUUUUUUUCAUCACAUCGAUAUGUUCGAUAUUUUCGAUAUUUUAGCGAUAUUAUAGCGAUAUUGUAACAAAAUAUUGCUAAAGUGUGAGCGAAAUUAUCGACGUCGAUAUUUUCUGAUAUUACCGUCGAUAUUCUCGAUAUUUAUACGAUAUGUGCAUGGAUACGUGAAAUAUCCGUGAUUCGAAAAAACGAUAAUAUCCUCGAUAUUUCGUCGAUAUUAUCGAUAUUUUAGACUAUGAUUCUAUGUAAAGAUUUAAUACUGCUGCUAAUAGGAAAUGAAAACAAAAACGGGAAAACUUUAAACAAAUCAAUAGAAAAAGACUAAAUUUUUUUGUUGUUGGGAAAUUCUGGAAUUAUAAUCAUAAAUGAUAUUAUUAAUGAAUAGAUUAAGAUGGGUUCCGUGAUCUGAGAUAUUGUCUACACAAUUAAAUUGUAAGCUAUUCACAGAGUCAUUUCUUGAAAUUUGAGUCAUUUAAUGCAAACUUGUAGUCGCAGUAUUAGGUGGGCUAUGACUAUGAGUAUCACUGGAAACAAUUAAUCAAGACCAUUCAUUUAUUCUGGCGUGUUUCAAAGGCUUGCCGUAUCUGUCAUAGUGUUAUUAGUCGGGCCCCAUCAUCACAUGUGAACAAAAGCUUGCCCAACUGAAACACGCCCGAAUAAAUGAACAAAUACAUGAAAUAAGGACUUAAAAAAUAUCAACAGACUUACUUUUUUUUUUAUUGCAUUUAUGGGUUUUCGAUGUCUUGACAGUUUCGGUAAAUUUGACUUUACUACUGGAAAGUUUCUCGAAAUUUAAACUUUAUUAACAUAGGUUUUUUUUUUCAUAUCAAUUUCGUACCCACAAUUUUGAUUUCACCUCAGUUUCAUACCCUCUGUCUCUUUCCCUUAAUCUUUUAACCCAUGAUGUGGCAGUGAAUAGGCCACAUAGACUCAUACUAUGGUGCCACGUGACCCAUAAAUAAAUAAUAAAGGGUUUUUAUCAUAAAUGGUCUUUGAGGUAUGUUAAAUUGUCACUUUUGUUGUCCUUUUAGGAUUAGUACUUUCGAUGUCUUUUAUUGUAUUUUUGAAGUUUAUUUGAUGAAGUUUAUCUUGGAACAAAAACAAAAACAACCAUCUUCCUCGCCAACAAUGCCCUCCACCCUCACUGUCUGCCAUGGAUGUCGCUCAUCUUUGUUUAUUCCCAUAUUCAUACUUCUUCACCUCAAUCAAUACAACCUUAAACAUGAAAAGGAUGCUUGAGAAUCUAGCAUAUCUAAUAAUUACACCUAGGCCUCUCUCUCGAUCUAGGGUUCAACGAAAUAUAUUGAGGAUAUGAAAGGAGGUGGGUUUAUGGUUUUAAGGGAUCUAUUGAACCCUUUAUGGUCUUGCAAGGCCAAGAACAUAUAGCUUCGAAGGUCAAGAAGUCUAAAAACUUCUGAUAGAUUUCCAUGGUAGGCAGUUGGGGUGGGGCAUUAUCGUUCAAGGAGGUGAUUGCUUGGCUUUUUCUCUUCCAAGUUUUCUAAUUUUAAAGAUAAAAAUAAGGGUUAAAUCCAGGUUUAAAAACUUAGUUAAAAACUUAGACAAGUGGCAAUUUUUGAAUGGGAGUAUCAUGAGGUGACGUGGUGAUAUUGUAUAAUUCUAUAAUUUCUCGAGGAGUUGGCGCUGUGAAAAGAGAGUGUGAGAGAGAGAGAGAAAGACUUUUUUAAUUUAAAAUUUUGAUUUAUUUAAUUUUUAUAUUUUCAAUUAAUUAAUUAAAUUAUUUAUUUACAGGUCCACGUGCCACCACAAGAUGAAUCUAUGUGGCCUAUUCAUUGCCAUGUCAUGGGUUAACUGAGUUUUUAAAGAUUGAUGGUGGGUAUGAAACUACAGUGAAAUCAAACUUCGGGUACAAAGUUGAUACCAAAAAAAAAAACUUUAUGUUGUAAAUUUUGAAUUUUGGGAAACUUGAAGGUAGUAAAGUGAAAUUUACAUUUGAGAUGAGUUUUGUGAGUUUGAUUUGAGAUCAUGUUCAAUUUUACAGCUUGUUACAUAAUAAAUUACCGACCGUUGACUGUUUGUUAUUGUUUUACUAAUGAAUUCUGUAAAGUCAACUAUUGAAAUUGUGUCCAAAAUCCUUAUAUCGGGAAGAGAUAAGAAUAAGAAACCUCAUCAUUAGUUUUAUCCUCCUCGAAUUCUACCAGUUCAUAGAGUUUCAAUUCCAGAUUUUAGUUAACAAAAGCCAUUCAUUCAUCCUCCUAUCUUAUAGCCAUUGUGUUUUCUAGCAUGUCAAAGCCUUGAGAAUGAGAGACAGAUGCCGGAGUGACACUGAUAGGGCCUGCUUAUCUUCAUUGGUGAUCCAGGGCAUGGACGCCAUGGGAAUAUUUAUUGCCUUCAUGCGUGCUCUUUGCAUUCUUUACAUGUUUUACAUAUUCGUAUAUGAAUGUACUUUCAUAUACUCCAAAUGGAAGUACAAGUGGAUUGAAAGAGAAUGGAGGUUAUUGGAAGCUGUUUUAGAAGAUUUCGAUGAAGUUUCACGGUGCGCAAAUCAGAUAACACAGGAAGCUAAUCAGCCUUUAGAUUCUGAGCUCAUUCAAGCUGGAAUAACCGUAAGACUGAAUGAAAGGGAGAAAAGCUGGAUGUCGGAAGCAAGAGAAGUGGUUUUGGAGGCAACAGGGUGCGUUCAAAGCUUUCGGAGAUUGAGAGAGAGAAAAGACUCUCCCAAUUGGUUGUUUUACAUGUUAGCAGAUCUGGUACCAAUGCUUGGUGUUGCCUUUCAGAUGAAGAGGCUGAAAAGUUUCUUUGGGAAGAAGGAGAUAUGUGCUGGUGACAUCUAUGAAUCGCUCGAACAGUCGAGGUCCAGGAUUAGAAGCCUGCAGGACAGAUCUAUUGUUGAUGGUCAGAUUGAACAUAAUUCUGUCAAGUCCAAGCCAUUACAUGAUGAGUUGAUUCCCUCUCUAAAGAAGAUCACUGAAGACCCAGACUUGAUGCAUGGAAUGAGGAAGCAAAUAAAAUCCGUCACUACGCAUUUACAGCUACUGCAUGCUUUCAUGAAAGAUUUACAGCCCCUCAAACUGGAAAGUAAAAUGGAAACGUCCUGGAUGACGAAAGCAAGUGAGAGCAUUGACAAAGCAAAAGAUGCCUUUGACAACAUCGAUGGACAACUAAAUCGGAGUCCGCUUCAAUUUUACAAUAAGUGGAUGGCUAGGAGGGCGCUUAAGAAGGAAAUGAGGAACAUUGGCACUUGUAUCUCUGAUCUCAUCGAAAUGAAGGAAAGAUAUGGAUUUAAAUUUAUCAGACGAGACUCGGCAAAAUCUGCUAACAUCCGAUCUCCUCAACAGCAAAACUUGCCAUAUCAGACAAUAGACUAUCGGGAUGUGAAUUCUGCUGUCAACCACAUUCGCUUCUGGCUGACUCAACUGCCUGUAACAAGCAAAGAAAGAAGAACUACCAUAUUUUUCCUCUGCAACCAGUUGGACAGCAUGUAUGAACUUUUGAGAGAUCAAAAAGCACUGUAUGCUAGUAAUUUUAGAAAUGCUUGCUUGACACAAUUGAAGGAGAUGGCUACUAAGAUAAAGCAUGACUCGAAAGUCUUCACAGAAGAUUCAGAAACAAAGCUUCCCUCAGCACUUACCCAAAUCACGGAGGUUGUCCAGCUUCUUCAAAGAUGCAUGAAAGUAUAUUCCAUUGAGGUAAGGGCCGAUUCAUGCUCAGCAGUUGGUUUGGAAGAAGACAUACACCAACUGGUCUUGCAACUGACUGAUAACAGUAAACAUCGUUCUAUCAUUUCCAUUGUGGGGAUGAAGGGCAUCGGUAAGACAACCUUGGCAAAGAAAGUUUAUAACCACACUACCAUCGCCAACCAUUUUGAUUUUCAACAUUGGGUGUCUUUACCUCAAGAGUCUGAUGAAAAUGCACUUUUGACAAGUGUUGGAAACCAGAUCCUCGGGACCAAAGAGCAACAGAAUGGCAAAGACUACUGGAUCAAGAAAGUGCGUGCUUUCUUGAACGAGAAGCGAUACCUUGUAGUUCUGGACAAUGUUUUAUCAAAUGAAGCCAUCUACGCUCUCAAACCAGCAUUCCCAAAAUUGACAAACGGGAGCAAGAUUGUGCUCACCACUCGCAAAAAGGUCAUCGCUUCAAAUGCUGAUCAAAAUAGCAUUCCCCACGAACUUAGGCUCCGAACGAAAGAAGAGAGCUGGCAAUUUUUCACCCAGAUGGUGCACAUUAGUGAGACGGAAACUCUUGUGAAGGAAGUUGUAGAAAGAUUAGGUGGAGGCUUACCAAUUUCCAUCCUACGUCUUGCGUAUUUUCUGUGGGAGAAGAAUGUGACAUCUGACAAACUAGAGAAGCUUAUGGGUACCCGUCAGGCACAGAACGUGAUGCCAUGGUUAUAUAACCUGGCAGCGAAUACAGAGUUGCAGUUCCACCCAAUUAUGAGUAAAUGCUUUUCGUACUUCCAACUCUUCACUAGGGAUUUCGAAAUCCCUGUGAGGAGAAUAGUCGCUUCAUGGAUUGCACAAGGGUUGGUACAACUUAGAGGAGAUGAUCAGACGACUCUUGAAGAUAUUGCAUACAAGUAUCUAAUAGAGUUGAUUGGAUGUAAUAUGAUUCAAGUAGUUCAAAGAAAGCCUAAUGGGAAGGUCAAGACAUGUUGCUUGCCUACUACUGUGCGAAAUCUCUCAUUGAAAGCCAUAGGCAAUACCACAAAAACUCAGUCAUGGUCAAAAACAAGUACAAGGGAUAAAGGUCAACUUGCCUAUCAUUUUGCUGAUAAUGAUGCCAGUUUCCAUCACAUUCAUCGUCUCAGCCUAAGUUUGCCAAAUGUCAUGCAAAACGAAAGCUAUCCCAACUCGAUUCUCUUUGUUGAUGCUGCAGAAGGAAAUACACUGAGAGAGGGAAUAAAUAUAUUUCUUCAAAAGGGCAUUGCUAAUGGUUUCUUCGGACAGCUACAGGUUCUAGACCUUGAACGUGUAUUCAGACCUAAGUUGCCGAGGAACAUAGGAAAAAUAAAGCAUCUGGCUUAUUUGGGCUUAAGGUACACUAAGUUGGAGACGAUCCCAUCAUCUGUGGGAAACUUGGUGAACCUCAAAACUCUAGAUUUGAAGGAUACUUGUCUCCAAACAGUCCCUAGUUCAGUAUGGAAGCUGAAGAAACUUCGGCAUCUAUACUUGAACCAGCUUUGUACGCUGCCUCAACUAACUGACCUUUCCUUGAGCAAUCUGCAGAUAUUGUCAGGUGUGCUGCUUGUGAGUAAGCGCAGUCCAUUGAAGGAUGGGCUCUCCAAGUUGAAAAACCUUCGGAAAUUGAGAUUAUCAUUCCAGCUCGAAGAGCCAGAGCAAAAGGUAUUGGCAACAUCAAUUUUGCAGCUGACCAACUUACAGUCUUUGAAGUUAUCGAUUUAUGAUCCCAACAGGGAGGUACCUCAGAUCCUGAAACUAGGGCGUCUCUCAGCCCUUACAAAACUGUCCAGCCUACAGUUGUUUGGAAAGCUUGAAAUACAGUCCAUCAUAAAUGAACUUCCCAAAAGCCUCACUCAUCUUACCUUAUCUUCCUCUGGAAUUGAACAAGAUCCAAUGCCAAAGUUAGGAAAGCUUCCAAACCUUCGAUCACUGUCUUUGUACUCUGGUUCUUAUCAAGGAACAGACAUGGUUUGCUUCAAGAAGGGAUUUCCCCUGCUUCUAGUUCUAAAGCUUUCAGAGCUAGUUAACCUGGAGAAAUUGGAUAUGCAAGAAGGAGCAAUGCAAAAUAUUAGGAACUUAGAGAUUAGAUCCUGCACGAAAUUGGCCAUCAUUACUGGAUUGAUGCAUUUAAGGACCCUCCAGGAAUUUAAAGUUAACUAAUAUUCAGGUGAUACUGAGAGUGACUCAGCACAAAAUUAUUCACUCUCCUGCAAUCAAAACAGGCAAUUAGUAGGCCAUGCCAAAUGGGAUUCUGGCUUUGUUCUCUUAAGUACUUCCCCUGUGAGUUUUUAAGUUUUCCUUGGAACAAAUUGUAAGAUGCAAGUGUGAUUCUACAAUUUGACUCCCUCCAUGUAUGCUCUUUUUUGUUUUAUGUGUUCCUUAUUGCUUGGUUUGUAAUGCUUCCUAUCCUUGUUGUAUGAAAGACGAGAAUAAAUCAUUGUGACAAGUAAUACACUAUGUUAGCUAUUUUAUAAUUUUCUAAUUAUAUUAAUUUAAUAUCUGAAAAGGAUAUUGUCUGCUUUGGGCCCCUCCUUUCUGGCCCUCACGGUUUUGUUUCUAGGAGCUCACGACCAACUUCCCAGUGGGUCACCCAUCCUGGGAUUGCUCUGGCCCCCAACUCGCUUAACUUCGGAGUUCCUACGACUCCGAAGCCAGUGAGCUCCCAAAAGGCCUCGUGCUAGAUGGAUGUGGGUGUGCACAUAUAAGACACAUUACCCCCUCUCUGUUGGUUGAUAUGGGAUCUUACAUAUUCUGGUUUUAAGCUUGAAUUGCUGGAAAAUGAUCAUUUCCUGUAAACAAUAGUGAAUAUACCUAUAAAGCAUGAAAGUCUUAAACCUCUAACACCACUUUCCAUCAGCUCAAUACCUGAAAGAUCGAGUGUCAAGUGUUCAUAAAUCAAUUAAUUGGAGUUGCAUUGACUCUUUGGCGUCUACAUUAUGACAAUUUCAUUUGAUAAACCAAAAAAAAAAAAAACUACAAUACAAUGCAUACAUUUGAGCCCUUCUCCGAUUCAAAAUUGGCCAAAACCUCUCUCAGUUGAGACUUUGAAGCUAAAGAAGACGGAUUUGAAUGUACGAUGUGACUGCUCCGGAGUAAGUGAGAUAGUUUGAUUUGGUUUCAAUCUCCACAUCUGUAUUUGAUCCUUCAUAAACAACGUUCAAGCAUGUAUUUUGAUCGUAUCUUUUAUUUCUUCACAUCUGUAUCAUAUAGUUCAAGCAUGUAUUAACAAUUAAUAUGUAGCAUUAUUUCAAGCAGGUAUUAACACAUCAAUCACUUAAACUAAACACAGAAGGAUUGAAUAAUUGUGAAUGAUAUUAAACCAAGACGAGGAUAUAUAUACAAGUACAAGUUGACUUUUCCUACAAGGAAAAGUAAUUAGCUAAUUACAAGGAAUCCUAACUAGGUAACUAUUCUAAUUAGGUAACGUUAAUUACACCAAGAAAUCAAGGAUCACCAGACCCCUGAAUUAUGGCUCACGUCAAUACUCCCUCUCAAGUUUGUGCAUAGAUAUCUCAUGCCCAACUUGUCAAGUGAGUCAUGAAAAACUUUUGUUGACACCGCGUGCGUUAAGACAUCUGCCAAUUGUUCUUCUUACUUUACAAAUGGUAUAUCAAUUAGCUUAUCUAUUGGCUUCUCCUUGAUAUAAUGCCUAUCCACUUCAACAUGCUUAGUUCUGUCAUGUUGAAUUGGAUUAUUUGCUAUAUCUCUUGCAGUUUGGUUGUCACAGUAAAGCUCCAUGACUUUCUUUGGUGGAAAACCAAUUUUGGACAGGAGUAUCCUUAGCCAAAGAAGCUCACAAACUCCCUGUGCUAUGCCCCUGUAUUCUGCCUCAGUUGAAGAUCGAUCCACUACAUUCUACUUCUUACUUCGCCAUAUAACCAAAUUACCCCCAAUGAAAGUGAAGUAACUUGAUGUACAACUUCUAUCUGUUAUAUUGCCUGCCCAAUCUGCAUCUAUAUAACCCUUGACAUCCAAAUGUCCCAGUUUUCUGAAUAUCAAGUCUCUGCCUGGGGUUUUCUUCAAAUAACUCAAAAUCCUCAUAACUGUCACUAAGUGAUCCUCACUAGGAGGAUGCAUGAACUGGCUAACAACACUAAUUGCAUAUGCAAUAUCUGGUCUAGUGUGUGAAAGAUAAAUUAGUCUUCCCACUAACCUCUGAUAUCUCUCCUUGUUAGUUGACACUUGAUCAUGAUAGAUUGCUAGGAGAUUCUGCACAAUAGGGGUUUCGGCUGGCGCAAACCCUAACAUACCAGUUUCUAUCAACAGGUCUAGAACAUACUUAUUUUGAGAUAGAAAAAUACUAGUAGCAGAGCGAGUUAUUUCGAUUCCCAAAAAAUACUUUAAAGCCCCCAAGUCCUUCAUCUCAAACUCUGAGGCUAAGUACUUUUGUAAUUUACCUAUUUCAACAAUAUGAUAACCAUAUCAUUGACAUAGAUUAUCAGUAAAGUAAUCUUACCAUCCAUACGUUUGAUAAAUAGGAUAUGAUCCGAGUUAACUUGAUGAUAUCCAUACUUCUUCACUGCUUUAGUGAACUACCCAAACCAUGCUCGCCAAGACUGCUUCAAUCCAUAAAGGGUCUUUCGAAGCCUACACACAUUCCCAUUGUUAUUAGACAACCCAUAACCAAGUGGCAUGCCCCAUGUAUACUUCUUCUUUUAGAUCUCCACGUAGAAAGGCAUUCUUCACAUUGAAUUGCUCAAGGAUAAUAAAACUUGCACCGUAUUCAUUUUUGCCACCGGUGCAAACGUAUCCGAAUAAUCAACUCCAUACAGCUACGUAUACCUAUGUUCUUAUGUCACUCAAAGGCCUAUAAGUUGAUAAAUUCUGGCACAAAGAAGAUCAUCAUCAGUCGAGAUGUGGUGUUUGAUGAAGAAAAUGUGUGGGAUUGGGCUGAAAGUAGCGCAAUACACAAGCAAAUUCCUGUAAGCUUUAAUGAAGAAGAAGACUCUUCAGGGAUUGUAGAGCCGCUACAAUCCUCUAAUUUUAGGACUUCAGGGAUUGCAUCACAAGUUCAAUCCUUUCCCAUAGGUGAACCAAAUGAGGUGCAACCAUCUUGUCCACGACCGUCAGGCAUAAGGAAAAAGCCUGCAUGGAUACUAGAUUAUGAGGUUAAUGUAAUUAAUUAUGAUUCUGAUGAAGAGAUUAGUCACUUUGUUGUGAUCCUGUGUCAUUUCAAGACGAAGUCCAAAGAAUCAAAAUGGUAGAUAACCAUGGCUGAGGAGAUCAAAGUAAUUGAGAAAAAUAAAACAUGGGAGUUGACAGAUCUUCCCAAAUGACAGGAGACCAUUGGUGUCAAGUGACACAAAACAAAGUUCAAUGAAAAUGGAGAAGUUGAUGAGUACAAAGCAUGUCUAGUUGCAAAAGGCUACAAGCAAGAAUAUGACGUUGACUACAAGGAAAUCUAAGCUCCAGUUGUGAGACUUGAUACCAUUCAUUUAGUCCUUUCACUUGCUGCACAAAAUGCUUGGUCCAUCUUUCAGUUAGAUGUGAAGUCUGCCUUUCUACAUGGAGAUCUGUAGGAGCAGGUAUAUGUACACCAAACCCUUGGUUAUGUGAAGUAAGGGCAUGAAAAUAAGGUAUUAUAAAUUUUUAAAAAGGCAUUAUAUGGACUGAAAUAAGCACCUCGAGCUUGGUAUAGUCGUAUAGAUGUUUAUUUUUUGAGCAAAUGCUUUCAGAAAUGCCCAUAUGAGCAUACACUAUUAUAAACUACACUUUAAACUAGAACUACAAAUAUGCUUGAUCAGUGCAUAAUUAUAUAUCAUUUUGUACCCUUCUAACUUAUUAUUUGGUUAUGUUUUUUAGUUAAACUUGUGUUUUUAAUCUCUUUUGUCUUUGUCGUUCAGUUAAUUGAGAUUUAGGUAGCAAUGGUGGCUUUGAGUAGGAAAAGAUGGAAAAUGGUGCAAAAACGUGCAAACUGAGUUAGCAAUUUGUUUUGGCCUUAACUUCUUCCUCCGACCAUGGAUUGGCCCAAAUGACAUGUGGUUGGAAAGAUAACAUUCUGAACUUCAAGUUGGAGUGCUCAAAGUCAUCAUUUGCUUAAGAAAAGCCCAAUUCGUAUGCCCAUGAAGUUGCUGGUCAUGCUGACCUAAGGAUGAGCUAAUUGUUGCUAGGUCAUGAUGAGCUAUGCAUGAGCUAUGGUUUCUAGUGGAAUUUGUUGGUGAAGUGCAAUAGCCAAAUAAGAAAAGAAACUGAUUUUCAAUUGCACUGGUGUGUUAGGUAAAGUUGGUGAAGUGAGUGUUGUAGGUAUAAGACAUAUUCAAAUCAGAUUUCCUCUUUCCUUCUCCCUAUAAAUACCACAUCCAUUCCACCCCAAAUGAAAGAAUCACAUCUGGGAUUCACACUCCCACAAAUCAUUCCAUCCAUCUUCACAAUCCCAUAAUUUCCCCAAACACAUUCAGAAAGCACCUUCAAACACUCCAAAAAUCAACCCAAAGCUCUAAACAGCCCCAAAUCACCAAAACUGUCGCAACAAACCUCUCUUCCAUUUCCCUAUGAAUUUCCUUUUUCUCAGCCAUCAACACUCACCCAAAAUCAUCACAAAUCACCUCAUUAACCUUCAUACAUCCUUCUAGAGAUGGAAAAGCUCUUGGAAAAGCAUUAGGCAUGCAGAAGCUCUUGGAGAAGCAUUAGACACCCCAAGAACUUCAGAAAAAGGGUUUUUCUACUCCUAUUGUAUUCAUUAUGUUUUCUCAAUUCCGUUCAUGUUAUUUUGGCAUUAUGAGUAGCUAAAUCCAUAUCUAGGGUUUCGAUGUAACCUAACAUGAAAUUUUUGGGUUUAUAAAUGUAACAUCCCUGACCCAAUUUAAUCGAUUUAAUCCAAUUUAAUUCUUUUGUAAAAUUACAAUUUAGCCCUUUGGAGUAGGGGUACUUUGGUCACUUUUUAAUCCAGAAGGAUUUUGCAUGACACCCCGACCUUGGGGGUAGGGUCAUUUUGGUCACUUUUUAAUCUGGUAGGAUUUUGGGGAAUUGAAUAGCACCGUUGCAUAGAGCUCGUCGAUAUGAGUUCGUAGACACGUAGUGGGCUCAAAUCAGCUUCGUCCGGCAACCGUUUCAAAUGAAACAAUUUGCAAAAUCCUCCUCUCCUCAUCCUCUACUUGACCCACCCAAUUUCUCUGGCUAAUUACCAGCAUAGCAUUGCUGGUUUCGAAGGGAAAAACUAGCCAGAUUAGUUGUCUACGCCAACAACGUUUUCGGCCACCUCCAGUCACGCCAUCACUUGGAUCAAGUAGCUCUCUCCUCCUUCUUGCUUUCUCCUAGGUUGCGCGACGCCAUUGUUGGUUGUCGUAGCUGUAUCGAGGCUGGGAAGUUCCAGUCAAAACCGUACGGUUCCAACUUCAAUCUGGCAAGCUCCAACCACUUUUUGGCCGUGGUUCGAGAACAAAGUUGCUCCCCAUAGUUGUCCCAAACAUGUAGGUAUAGGUAUUGUCAGGUGUUUUAUGAAUUUUCCGGUAGCCAAAAUUUUCUCAAGACACCCAUGCGCUGCCGGUGCAUGUGGCGGUGUGUUGGCCAAGAUUGGUUGGCCCAUUUGUUUCUAAAAUUUUUCCCAUGUCAUCCCAAGCAAGACGGUAUGUUCAUAUUCAAAUUUAGUUAUCGUUUGACAGCCAAACGGAUUUACGCCUAUUAGGCGAUAUCCGGGUUCAACAUGUUCGGACCAUUGGAUCGACUCCAAUUCCAAAUAUGUUGAUCUAAGUACCUCUAGGAUGGUGUAGGAACUCACGGAUCGAGAAUAUGAGUCCUGAAUACUCCGAAUCAAUGAUUCAAUGAUUACGUAAAAUAGUAACCGUCCGAUCAUGGGAUCGAGAGCAAUUCGAUAGCUUGAUUUGGACAAAACUUGCAGGACGUGUUUAGUAAACUUUGUUGAACCCUUAGGAUCUUUUGGAUCAAAAAUUGGAGGUCGUGGUCCCUACAGGCCCUGUUGACCAAAUUUGGGAAAUUUGACCACUCGGUUGACCGAGAGUCUUCCGAGAUUAUUUCACCUUUUGAAAUACGUAGUUGGACCUUUGGAACUCCCCGUUCGUCGUACACAUAGUUUGAAUCCUAGGAAACUGGAAAGCUAUGCAUAUAUACAUAUAUAAAAUUGGGAUAAUUUGACUGUUGGAACUUUAAUGUUGUUUUAAUAUUGCUUUAUGGUAUUUUAUGGAUUUAUUGGCGUGAUUUUGGGCACUUGAAGGUUGUGUUUAUUUUGGGAGGAUUUAUUGUUAUCUUGAGAGCUAUUAUCUAUACUUUGAAUAUGUAUAUUUUGGGAUUUGUGUUUUGGACACUAGUGAUGUUGGUUUUCCUAGAGAUACGGGUUGGGUACAUGGGAUUGUCGGAAAGUGGUUACAGAUUGAGAUUUGGGUUGUGGUUUAUGUUAGUCUGGAGUGCUUUUAGCACUACCCUAUGUACUGAGAUUUGGGGUAUCAGUAUACCAUUACGGGAUAUGGGUUUCACCUUGGUUUUAAUUUAACUAUAUAUUUAUAUAUCGGAUUUGAAUGGUUCCAAUUGCAUCUUUUUAGCAUCGUUUUCCAAACGGUGGGUUAGUAUGUUGUUUUCAACUAUGAUAAAACUUUAUUGUUAUCCACUCCCAUUUUCUGUUUUGCGCCCCCCAGGUAGUAACUUAAGCUGUCGAGCGGCCGAACCAAGACUUGAAUUUCCCGUUGAACUUUAUUGCAUUUGUAAACUGAAUCUCUGUAGAAUUGCUCUAUUAUUGCCCAUGUUAGGGUUGGAUGUAAGACUGGAGGCCUAUUUUGUAAAUUGUGUGCUUUUGUUUUGUGCAUGCUGCUGUUGGGAUUGUUUAUUGUGCUUAUAACAGGCUGAAAAUAUGGGAAAGUACGUUUUUCUUCAAGGGAGACUGCAGAAAUUUCGGCAGAAAGUCUCGACCCUCUUUUCCUUUGAUUUGGAGAAGAGGAUCAUGUUAGUAAGUGGGCCCGGCAUCGGGUGGAUGUUUGAAAAAUCACAGGAUUCGUCAUGGAUUCCAAAGAAUUUCUGGGCGAGUCCUAUCAACUUGGUAUCAGAGCAUUAGGUUCAUUUUCCUUUGAACUUCACGCUUCGUGUGCAUUCUUAAAACUAAUGGCUUCCCUGUUUUCCUUCUUAUAGCACCAUGCCUCCUACAUGUGGUAGACCGAGAACUCGUUUUUCCGAGACUGAGGAGCCUAUUCCACCUCCACCAAUCGGUGAGGAAGCGGGUGAGAGCGAACUUGACUUGAGCCAUGUGCUGGACCAAUUACCCGAACAGUCACUACAGCCCCGUAAGGAAGGCGUAACAUUGAGGCUUCGGACAUCAAAAGAGCAUGGAAUUGGGGGCUUAUGACUUCUUUGGUAGUGUAGGCCCUGCUGAAGAUGAAAAUUGGCUCACCUACCUAGAAAGAGUUUUGGAAGUUAUGAGGUGCCCCGAUGAAGAUCGAGUUCAGUUGGCUUCCUUCCUCCUGAAAAGGAAUGCCUACCAUUGGUGGAAGACCAUUCGUAGGGGUUAUGCUGAUCCUACCGCCAUCACUUGGGCAGAGUUUCAGCGUAUCUUCUAUGAGCAAUUCUACUUGCACUCAUACCGAAAUGUGAAGAAAGCCGAGUUCCUGCAUUUGAAACAGGGGUUACUGUUUGUAUUAGAGUAUGAGCACAAGUUUAAUAAGUUAGCUAAGUUUGCUCCAGAGUUGAUUACAAAUGAAUAGAAGAAGUGUAGACGAUUUAAGGAAGGUCUGUGGCUUGACAUUCAAGCAGUAGUCACUGCAAACACUUAUCCUUCUAUGAGAGUGCUGGCUCAAGAAGAUCAAUACUAGUUCAACAAGAUGUUGCAGGGACAUGUGUAGCUUUGGUGGACCAAGUCAAGGUCCAUCAAAGAGAGGGGGAUCCAGUUCCGAUUCUGCUGGUAGUGGCUGGUUCGGUGGACGUGAUAAAAUUCAAGAAGUGGGAGAUCUGGGCCGGGGCCAAAUUGGAGCCAAAAUUCCUGUCAACAGUCAGUGGCUACAGCUAGAGAUUCUUCACAGUAGAAUAGUUUAGCUUGUCACAACUGUGGACAAAUUGGACACUUUAGAAGGGAUUGUCCACAUCUCAUGCAAAGCGAUGGUCCAAGUCAGAGGGGUAGCACAGGCUGUUUCUAUUACAGUCGGGUUUGACACUUUAAAAGUGAGUGUCCUCUUCUCUCUCAAGGUGGUACUGCAAGGCAGGAAACUGUGGCCCAGCAAGGGUAAUGUAACUGUGGUCAGAGUCAAAGUCAGAGUGGUGUCUCUUCUGCAGCUGUAGGUUCUUCAUCUAGUAAUGGGGUUCAAUCUACACUAUGUGGGAGAGGUGGUAGGCAUCUUAAGGGUCAGUCAAGGCCUCCAACUACUUAGGCCCGUGUGUUUUCUAUGACCCAGUAGGAGGCACAUGCCACACCAGAUGUCAUCACUAGUAUGUUACCUGUUUUUGGUUAUCUUGAACAUGUUUUAGUAGAUCCCUGGGCCACACACUCGUUUAUUGCAAACAAUUUCGUACCUUAUGCAAGUGUUAGACCUACCCCUAUCGCGAAAAGUUUUGGUAUUUCCUUACCUACGGGAGAUGUCCUUUUUGCUAACAUGGUGUUUAGAGAUAGUUAUGUUCAAGUGGGUGAUGCGGUGUUGGAAACCGAUUUGAUUCCCUUGGAUUUGCUUGAUCUCGCUGUCAUCUUGGGAAUGGAUCGGUUGGAGAAACAUCAUGCAUCUGUGGAUUGUUUCCGAAAGGAGGUUGUACUUCGAAGUCUAGGAAAACUCAAAGUUACUUUUCGUGGAGAGUGUAGGGUCCCAUCAUGUCUAAUAUCAGGUUUAACAGCAAGACAAUUACUCAAGAAAGGAUGUGUGGGAUACUUAGCCCAUAUCAUCGCUACUCGUAAUGUCACCGUAUGUUCGGAGGAUGUCCUUGUUGUUCGAGAAUUCCCGGAUGAUCUUCCUGAUUUACCUCCCCAACGAGAAACUGAGUUUACUAAUGAACUUCUUCCAGGCACAAAUCUUAUCUAUCAAGCACCCUAUAGAAUCGCACCAGCUUAGUUACAAAAGUUGAAGACUCAGUUGCAAGAAUUGAUUGAUCUUGGGUUCAUCCGACCUAGUGUUUCCUCUUGGGGGUGCACUAGUGUUGUUUGUGAAGAAGAAGGAUGACACUAUGAGGUUGUGUAUCGAUUACAAACAAUUGAAUAAAGU
This 27250-nucleotide long non-coding RNA is filed under the name Prunus persica (peach). RNAcentral describes it as "long non-coding RNA (PPER_LNC007702)". The record is from RNAcentral. Lineage: Eukaryota; Viridiplantae; Streptophyta; Magnoliopsida; Rosales; Rosaceae.